This 1211-nucleotide ribosomal RNA is filed under the name Lactiplantibacillus plantarum. Its description in RNAcentral is "bacterial SSU rRNA". It matches the Rfam family "Bacterial small subunit ribosomal RNA", at positions 290 to 1460 of the family's 1533-position model. Lineage: Bacteria; Bacillati; Bacillota; Bacilli; Lactobacillales; Lactobacillaceae. The record is from RNAcentral.
GCCUGAGAGGGUAAUCGGCCACAUUGGGACUGAGACACGGCCCAAACUCCUACGGGAGGCAGCAGUAGGGAAUUCUUCCACAAUGGACGAAAGUCUGAUGGAGCAACGCCGCGUGAGUGAAGAAGGGUUUCGGCUCGUAAAACUCUGUUGUUAAAGAAGAACAUAUCUGAGAGUAACUGUUCAGGUAUUGACGGUAUUUAACCAGAAAGCCACGGCUAACUACGUGCCAGCAGCCGCGGUAAUACGUAGGUGGCAAGCGUUGUCCGGAUUUAUUGGGCGUAAAGCGAGCGCAGGCGGUUUUUUAAGUCUGAUGUGAAAGCCUUCGGCUCAACCGAAGAAGUGCAUCGGAAACUGGGAAACUUGAGUGCAGAAGAGGACAGUGGAACUCCAUGUGUAGCGGUGAAAUGCGUAGAUAUAUGGAAGAACACCAGUGGCGAAGGCGGCUGUCUGGUCUGUAACUGACGCUGAGGCUCGAAAGUAUGGGUAGCAAACAGGAUUAGAUACCCUGGUAGUCCAUACCGUAAACGAUGAAUGCUAAGUGUUGGAGGGUUUCCGCCCUUCAGUGCUGCAGCUAACGCAUUAAGCAUUCCGCCUGGGGAGUACGGCCGCAAGGCUGAAACUCAAAGGAAUUGACGGGGGCCCGCACAAGCGGUGGAGCAUGUGGUUUAAUUCGAAGCUACGCGAAGAACCUUACCAGGUCUUGACAUACUAUGCAAAUCUAAGAGAUUAGACGUUCCCUUCGGGGACAUGGAUACAGGUGGUGCAUGGUUGUCGUCAGCUCGUGUCGUGAGAUGUUGGGUUAAGUCCCGCAACGAGCGCAACCCUUAUUAUCAGUUGCCAGCAUUAAGUUGGGCACUCUGGUGAGACUGCCGGUGACAAACCGGAGGAAGGUGGGGAUGACGUCAAAUCAUCAUGCCCCUUAUGACCUGGGCUACACACGUGCUACAAUGGAUGGUACAACGAGUUGCGAACUCGCGAGAGUAAGCUAAUCUCUUAAAGCCAUUCUCAGUUCGGAUUGUAGGCUGCAACUCGCCUACAUGAAGUCGGAAUCGCUAGUAAUCGCGGAUCAGCAUGCCGCGGUGAAUACGUUCCCGGGCCUUGUACACACCGCCCGUCACACCAUGAGAGUUUGUAACACCCAAAGUCGGUGGGGUAACCUUUAGUAGCCGAGCUGAUUGACUUGGCAAAUAACUUAUUCGUUUACCGCCCCU